CCAGCCCCGGGCGCGGUAGCCCUAGCCCGCCUUAGCUGUAGGGGUUCUCUGGAUAGAGGCCUCAGUUUGGAGGUUAAAAGUACAGCUCAAAUGCCAGAGAUGGAGGUGAGCCUCCAAGGAAAUUGCACCUCUGAAGAGAAGUCAUAGUCUGAAGAGAAGCUUUAGCUUCCAGCUCCUUUCAGACAUCUUCUGAACGGCUGUUUGGAGGAAAAGCUGGUAGUGCUGGAUCAGUCAACAGACAAAUAGGACAAAGCUGACUUAGAGGUCCUCAGAGCAUUGGCACUGGCAAGAUCAGAGAGAUGGGGAAUUACUUGUGCUGAAGCAAUUCCAGACCCUCUUGAGCAAGGAAUCUAAAAUUUGUCUGAAAAUAAUGAAAACUCUGUGUCUCUGGAAGAUUUAACCCAAAUGAGGAGAUAAGUAUGACUUACAGAAAGCAUACACUAAUGGACUAGACUCAGAAGAAGGCAGUUGGUAAAGUGAAAGAUUCUCCCUCCCCUCACAAUGGUGCACAAAGGAGAGAGUCUGGCUACCAUGCUUCUGAUUGCAAGGCACCAGCCAUCUUGGAUUAUGAAGUCAAGUUCAUACAUGAUGGACCAACAAGAUAGAAGAGCCUGGGUCCCUGAUGCUUUGGAAUGCCACGGCAGCCCUCACCACCUACCUAGACUUUUUGUGUGGUCUCUGAAGACAUUUGCCACCGCUGGUCUAGACUAGAGGAACAUUUAGUGCCUACUCAACCAGAAGUCUAAAGAUAGACAGAUUCAAGGUUGAUUCACUGGUUCAAUAAUAUAAGGAAAUUAUUAUCCCUGCAUAUCUCUUCCUUAUUUCUUAUUGUUGCAAGAUGGCUGCCACAGCUCCAACCAUCAUUCUACAGUGUUUAAUGCAGGAAGAAAAGGCAAGAGAUAUGUGGCAGAUGGCCAUUUUCUCCUAAAGUGAUUUUUUUCCUUUUAUUAAGGAGCAAAAACUUCUAAGAAGUGCCCAUCAGUGCCCUUAACUUUUCAUUGGCCCAAACCAUGAGACACUGAGAAAUAUUACUGCAUAGAAUACACAAGUGAUGAUAGUUCUCCUUCCCUAAGAUCCAGUAGGUCAUAUUUCCAGUGUUUAAGGGGUGAGGAGAGGAAAAGGAACACACAGAGGAGAUAUAGGAAGAGUAGUCCUUCAGCUACAAGAAGAA
This 1171-nucleotide long non-coding RNA is filed under the name Equus asinus (donkey). RNAcentral's name for it is "lncRNA (ENSEASG00005035671.1)". The record is from RNAcentral. Lineage: Eukaryota; Metazoa; Chordata; Mammalia; Perissodactyla; Equidae.